Molecule: ribosomal RNA, 253 nt
Filed under: uncultured bacterium
Lineage: Bacteria
Description: partial 16S ribosomal RNA
Rfam family: Bacterial small subunit ribosomal RNA
Source: RNAcentral
GACGAAGGUGGCAAGCGUUACUCGGAUUUACAGGGCAUAAAACGCGCGUAGGCGGCUUGGUCAGUCGGAGGUGAAAGCCCGCGGCUCAACCGCGGAACGGCCCCCGAUACUGCCAGGCUUGAGGCCGGGAGGGGUGAUCGGAACUCCAGGUGUAGCGGUGAAAUGCGUAGAUAUCUGGAGGAACACCAGAGGCGAAGGCGGAUCACUGGACCGGAACUGACGCUAAGGCGCGAAAGCUAGGGGAGCAAACAGG